ACACAAUCCUCUGGGGAUCUGGUUGGAAUCAGAUUCUGAUUCAGUAGAUCUUAGACAGGGCCUAAGAAUUUGCAUUUCUAAUUAGCUCCCAGAAGUACUGAU
RNAcentral lists this microRNA precursor (102 nucleotides) under Marmota monax (woodchuck). The record is from RNAcentral. Lineage: Eukaryota; Metazoa; Chordata; Mammalia; Rodentia; Sciuridae.